GAUGAACGCUGGCGGCGUGCCUAAUACAUGCAAGUCGAACGCAUAGCGAAAGGUGCUUGCACCUUUCAAGUGAGUGGCGAACGGGUGAGUAACACGAGGACAACCUGCCCCAAGGCUGGGGAUAACAUUUGGAAACAGAUGCUAAUACCGAAUAAAACUUAGUGGCGCAUGACACAAAGUUAAAAGGCGCUUCGGCGUCACCUAGAGAUGGAUCCGCGGUGCAUUAGUUAGUUGGUGGGGUAAAGGCCUACCAAGACAAUGAUGCAUAGCCGAGUUGAGAGACUGAUCGGCCACAUUGGGACUGAGACACGGCCCAGACUCCUACGGGAGGCUGCAGUAGGGAAUCUUCCACAAUGGGCGAAAGCCUGAUGCAGCAACGCCGCGUGUGUGAUGAAGGCUUUCGGGUCGUAAAGCACUGUUGUAUGGGAAGAACAGCUGGAAUAGGAAAUGAUUUUAGUUUGACGGUACCAUACCAGAAAGGGACGGCUAACUACGUG
RNAcentral lists this ribosomal RNA (497 nucleotides) under uncultured bacterium. Its description in RNAcentral is "partial 16S ribosomal RNA". It matches the Rfam family "Bacterial small subunit ribosomal RNA", at positions 28 to 507 of the family's 1533-position model. The record is from RNAcentral.